Molecule: long non-coding RNA, 931 nt
Organism: Anas platyrhynchos (mallard)
Lineage: Eukaryota; Metazoa; Chordata; Aves; Anseriformes; Anatidae
Source: RefSeq, a predicted model, not a curated record
CCGCGGGGCACGGCGCCAGCCUCGCCUCUGCCUGGGAAGCCAGGCUGCAACCUCACAGCAACCCUGCCCGAAAGCAAAGGGACCCUCCUACAGAAACCUCGUUAGCAGAAGAAGAAGAAUCUCGAUUCAAGCGUUUGAGUGUUUAAUACUGUAUUAUUAUUAUUUCUCCUCGUUUGUGUUGUGUAAUGGCCAUUGGAUGGGUCUGGAAAGAAGCACUUUGGUUCUGCAUCGUUCUGGUUCUGUUCCUGCGUGGUUAUGGGACCCUGCAGGAAUACAUUCCCCCAGUAACUACAGUACUGCUGAUACACGGAAAUAACAGGAAAUCUUCAAAGAGCUCUGAUAUUUCUGGACUGCUUCUCAGUCAUGUCUGGCUGAACUUGUUCCCACGCUCCUGGAGAAAGUCCAGGGCAGCCGAGAGCUCCUGAGGACAGCACUGAUGGGCCGCUGCCACCUGAAGCACCCCCUGUGCCAGAGAGACAACGGUCACUCAAAAAACAUCCUGUGUUCCACAACAGUUCUGCUUGACUGAAAGGCUUGACCCAAAUAACGAAAAUGCAGUACAGGCUGCACAGCAAGAUAAUGCUCCCUGCGCCAGAGCAGAUAGUGCUGGAUGGCAACUUGUCCUUUCUGAGAGAAACAAGGAUGAACAAAAACCUAACAUGUGAGUUAUUUGAAAAAUGUGAGUAAAAUUGUCUUGAUCUGAAAGGAAGUGGUGCUUUUCCAGCUUUCCCCAGUGGCAUUUGGGAUGCUUGCAAUUCUUUUCUUCUGAGAAACCUUCAGCUUUGCCAGCUGCAACUCCAUCAUCUCUGCACUGCCACUGUUGUGGCACCUGCCUCCUGCACGUUAGAUUCUUGGCAGAAAAGGCAAAACGCUGCUAUUGUCACUGGUUGGUGCUUCCUUGUAUUGUCACGUCGUAAGUGAUCUAGAAUUU